RNAcentral lists this ribosomal RNA (494 nucleotides) under uncultured bacterium. RNAcentral describes it as "partial 16S ribosomal RNA". It matches the Rfam family "Bacterial small subunit ribosomal RNA", at positions 28 to 507 of the family's 1533-position model. The record is from RNAcentral.
GACGAACGCUGGCGGCGUGCUUAACACAUGCAAGUCGAACGGAAAGGCCUGCUUUCCCUUGUGGAUUGCGGGUACUCGAGUGGCGAACGGGUGAGUAACACGUGAGUGAUCUGCCCCCAACUUGGGUAUAAGCCUGGGAAACUGGGUCUAAUUCCCGAUAGGACUGCAGGGUGGUGCCUGUGGUGGAAAACGAUUUUCUAGUGGUUGGGGAUGAGCUCGCGGCCUAUCAGCUUGUUGGUGGGGUAAUGGCCUACCAAGGCGGCGACGGGUAGCCGGCCUGGGAGGGUGGACGGCCACAUUGGGACUGAGAUACGGCCCAGACCCCUACGGGAGGCAGCAGUGGGGAAUAUUACACAAUGGGCGGAAGCCUGAUGCAGCGACGCCGCGUGGGGGAUGACGGCCUUCGGGUUGUAAACUCCUUUCGACCGCGAGGAAGCCACCUGGUUGGAAGGGUGGUGACGGUAGUGGUAGAAGAAGCACCGGCUAACUACGUG